Dermacentor andersoni is the source of this 349-nucleotide long non-coding RNA. RefSeq lists it as uncharacterized. The record is from RefSeq and is a predicted model, not a curated record. NCBI's taxonomy places the organism in Eukaryota, Metazoa, Arthropoda, Arachnida, Ixodida, Ixodidae.
AUGAAGCAAAGGCAGGCGGGUCGCGGGAACAGCUACAGCGCCAGCCGCAUCAGGUUAUGCAACCAGUGGGUGCAGCUCAACUAGGUGCACAACCAGACGGUGGAGUGAAAGCUGCCAGGAGAUCACGUGGACUCUCCCCCAGUGGACAAAUACCACGUGAGCUCUCCUUGAACCCGACCCCUGUGGCGAUAAUUGCGGUCGCCCUCAUGGCUCUGUUUGCCGUCUCUCUCAGCGUCUUGGUCUUCCGGGCGUUCCCCAGGUCCAAUGCCACGUGCCUCAGUCGGGCAUGCGUGGAGGUGAGAAUCCCGCGAACCCUUUUUUCUUCACUCUUUUUUUUUCCCACGCUGCU